This 460-nucleotide ribosomal RNA is filed under the name uncultured bacterium. RNAcentral's name for it is "partial 16S ribosomal RNA". It matches the Rfam family "Bacterial small subunit ribosomal RNA", at positions 338 to 795 of the family's 1533-position model. The record is from RNAcentral.
CCUACGGGAGGCUGCAGUGAGGAAUAUUGGUCAAUGGACGAGAGUCUGAACCAGCCAAGUAGCGUGAAGGAUGACUGCUCUAUGGGUUGUAAACUUCUUUUAUAUGGGAAUAAAAUGUUCCACGUGUGGGAUUUUGUAUGUACCAUAUGAAUAAGGAUCGGCUAACUCCGUGCCAGCAGCCGCGGUAAUACGGAGGAUCCGAGCGUUAUCCGGAUUUAUUGGGUUUAUAGGGAGCGUAGGUGGAUUGUUAAGUCAGUUGUGAAAGUUUGCGGCUCAACCGUAAAAUGGCAGUUGAAACUGGCAGUCGUGAGUACAGUAGAGGUGGGCGGAAUUCGUGGUGUAGCGGUGAAAUGCUUAGAUAUCACGAAGAACUCCGAUUGCGAAGGCAGCUCACUGGACUGCAACUGACACUGAGGCUCGAAAGUGUGGGUAUCAAACAGGAUUAGAUACCCUAGUAGUC